Gadus macrocephalus (Pacific cod) is the source of this 2258-nucleotide long non-coding RNA. RefSeq lists it as uncharacterized. Lineage: Eukaryota; Metazoa; Chordata; Actinopteri; Gadiformes; Gadidae. The record is from RefSeq and is a predicted model, not a curated record. The transcript has 3 exons.
AUUUCAUGGCGAAACCGCAAAGGUCUUGUACGGUUCGGCCUUCCGUCCACACGAAGCCGGCGAAUCCGCUGACCGAAACCGCAAACUUCUGAAACCACCCUCGGAGGUGGUUUCAAAUCUACCCGGUUUCGUUUUGGUUUCGUGUGGACGCCUGAAACAGACUGAAACCGCAAACCAUGACGUCAUCGCCCCACCCCUCGACCUCCUAGCCAAUGGCUCUUAAGCCCGCGGAGUCUCAGAAAUCACAACAAAAAAGAUGAUGGCGGACUACAAGCUUGUAAUCGUUCUGCAGCAUAUCAUGUCCCUUGUUGGGUUGCUAAGCCAUUAUUUAUUGAGAAUCUAGUUCGCCAUCGUAGAAGAGCUGUUUGUUUGUGUUGUUAGUGGUUCGGGGGGCAGCCUUUAUGCGCAUGCUCGCCUCUUCUUCUUCUGGAUUUGUGCACCAGAAGCAGCGCCCCUUAUGGGCCUGGAAUGUUUACUACAGCGUUUCUACAGAUCUAUCCGGUUUCGCUUGGCUUCGUCUUUACGGAGAUACUUCGAAACCGGAUAGAUCGAAACCGUAACGGUUUCGCCCGUUUCGGCUUCGUGUGGACGGGGCCAGAGCUAUAGAGAGAGAGAGUUGCGACACUUCCAUUGGACUCCGUUGUAGCGCCUACUUCCGGGGUAUGGAGCCUCGAAUAGUUCCAAACAACCAUUUUACGGCGUAGGAGACCGUUCAUUUCCAUUGCUGGCCGCCGAGUAACUUCUGAGGGUGAUGUUCAGCACAUGAAGCCCUACAGAUGCCGCCGAUUCAACAAUGCUGAUUAUGAUGGGCGGUCAAUUUAACCUUUGCCUUAUUAGGUCCUCCACAGUCGCCCCAUCAGUCCCUGGCAGUCUGGUCCCUGGAGCAGCUGGCCCUGGCAAAAGUUAUUCCUUCACUGUUGACCCCUGACUGACUGGCCCUCGGCACACAAAUCCCUGGAUCACCUGCCCCUGAAUCACCUGCCCCUGAAUCACCUGCCCCUGGCAAUGUGGCCUCUUGAUUGCUCUCUCUGUCUCCUGUGAUGUCCUUUUCAACGCUCUUGAAAUCCACCUAAAUUUCUCCCUCAAUCUCUGUAACAAUUACAAGGUAAUGUUGCUGUUAUAUGUAUUUUGCCUUUGCAUUUGCAACUAAUGUCAUCUCCAAUGUAAGAAAAUGAAUUAAAGCAAAACAUUUCUGUAAUGUGAAUUAAAUCAUCUGCCACAAUCAGAAACCAAUACAAUUUAUAAAUGGAUCUACCGGCAAUUGUUAAUUGGGUAGAAAUGUGUCGAUUAUCUACAUUGUGUGCAAAUCCUCAGAGAAUCCCUGCCUUCUGGUUGUUUUUUAAACUGAAUGUACAAAUAUGAAUUAUGUAAUCUCAUUAGGAGUGUAGUCUAUCCUUGAAUUACAUAAAAUGGGUAAUAUUGUUAGCUGCAUGGAUCAUACCGAAGUUUAAUUUGGCGCAAUAUGUGUGGUCCGUUGCACUUGGUUCCGGAGGCACCCUCACAGAUGGGGGUUUCCUCCUCUUCGGUUUAGGGCGAUGGAUGAAAACUGUUGGGCCUGCAUCGGGCCUCAACUUCAACAUCCUAUCUACUUUUGUGGCUUUGAAUUGGUCAUUUUCAAAGUGUACCUGUAGGUAGGCUUGUAAGAUCAGUUUCCAUUGCACUUCAAAUAUCAUUGGAAAGUCAUAAUUCUCUACACUUAGAAUUAUUAUGCCCUUUGAAAUGCUAGCAAGUGAUCUGAACAUUACGUUACAUCGUUUUUGACUGUUGCUGACUGUCAAUAAGUUUUGACGGCUGACCGUUGCCAUCCACUUCUCCCUGCGCUCUUGGUCCUUGGGGAAGCCGUGAUAACCCUUCUCGGACCGAUUGGAGCAUCCAAAUGCUGCACAGCCAACCAUGGUAUGACCAUUGAUCUAUAAAAUGUUAGUUGUAACCAAUGAACCAUGACACCAUUGAAGAUCACAGAGCGGGUAACAACUGUUCCUCAACCACUUAUGCCCCGACUUUUGAGAAUAGGUUAGAGGUCAGAGUUCAUGACAAAACGAGGAUCCUCCCUCCUAAACCCAUUUUGAAUUUGCUCAGGGCUAUUCUAAGUAUUGUAAUGGCAUAAAGUAUAGUAUAUUUGCAACGUUAUAUGUUAAUGGUUUGCCCUAAGUAUAUAGUGUUCCCUGCUGUGUCCAUUGUUGAAUCUGAUCACACAAUCGCAAUCACUUGUUCUUGUCACACUAAUUGUUUAAUAAAAAAAAAUACAAUUUCAUUCA